Molecule: ribosomal RNA, 186 nt
Filed under: uncultured Chlorobium sp.
Lineage: Bacteria; Pseudomonadati; Chlorobiota; Chlorobiia; Chlorobiales; Chlorobiaceae
Description: partial 16S ribosomal RNA
Rfam family: Bacterial small subunit ribosomal RNA
Source: RNAcentral
CCUACGGGAGGCAGCAGUGAGGAAUAUUGCGCAAUGGGCGAAAGCCUGACGCAGCAACGCCGCGUGGAUGAUGAAGUUCUUCGGAAUGUAAAAUCCUUUUGCAGAGGAAGAAAAUGCUGGUUUACCGGCACUGACGGUACUCUGCGAAUAAGCCACGGCUAACUCUGUGCCAGCAGCCGCGGUAAU